UGGGGAAUAUUGGACAAUGGUCGCAAGCCUGAUCCAGCCAUGCCGCAUGAGUGCAGAAGGCCUUUGGGUUGUAAAGCUCUUUUAGUGAGGAAGAUAAUGACGGUACUCACAGAAGAAGUCCUGGCUAACUCCGUGCCAGCAGCGGCGGUAAUACGGAGAGGGCUAGCGUUAUUCGGAAUUAUUGGGCGUAAAGGGCGCGUAGGCUGGUUAAUAAGUUAAAAGUGAAAUCCCGAGGCUUAACCUUGGAAUUGCUUUUAAAACUAUUAAUCUAGAGAUUGAAAGAGGAUAGAGGAAUUCCUGAUGUAGAGGUAAAAUUCGUAAAUAUUAGGAGGAACACCGGUGGCGAAGGCGUCUAUCUGGUUCAAAUCUGACGCUGAAGCGCGAAGGCGUGGGGAGCAAACA
RNAcentral lists this ribosomal RNA (402 nucleotides) under uncultured bacterium. Its description in RNAcentral is "partial 16S ribosomal RNA". It matches the Rfam family "Bacterial small subunit ribosomal RNA", at positions 355 to 774 of the family's 1533-position model. The record is from RNAcentral.